Long non-coding RNA from Hipposideros armiger (great roundleaf bat), 500 nucleotides. RefSeq lists it as uncharacterized. The record is from RefSeq and is a predicted model, not a curated record. The transcript has 3 exons. NCBI's taxonomy places the organism in Eukaryota, Metazoa, Chordata, Mammalia, Chiroptera, Hipposideridae.
GGGGACACUCAGCCAUAUCUGGAGACAUUUUUAGUUGUCAUGAUUCAGGAGAAUGCUACUGAAAUUUGGGCUUUCCUGCUUGGUCUUUCUCAUAGGAAUACACAACUCGUGGAGCCGAGAUGCAUGUACAAGCAACUUCUGCCCAGUUUUUGCUUUCUGUGAAAAAACUACCACUGUUCUUGCCCACUGGAUAUAUCUCAAGCACAGGAAAAGAGACAUUCACAUACCUCAAAGUCACAUGCAAAGGUGAUUGUGGGCUUGCUGAAAAAGCGGCUUUACUGCAAAAGAGUACACACAUCUUUGAAGACAGAAUCUGGCCAUAAGCUUCUUGGAGGGGAAAAUUUUCAAUCUCCUGAAUUCACAGCUCAUGUUCCUUUCUCUGUGUCAUUUUUAAUGUAAUAGUUAAGAAUUUGGGCUUCAGGUGAAAUUGACUUGGGCUCAAUCUCAAUUCUAUUCUAUGACUUUGAAAAAUCACUUUAUUUUUAUUAUUUAUUUUUUUA